CAGUAGCCGCGGUAAUACGAAGGGUGCAAGCGUUAAUCGGAAUUACUGGGCGUAAAGCGUGCGUAGGCGGUUUGUUAAGUCUGUUGUGAAAUCCCCAGGCUCAACCUGGGAAUGGCAGUGGACACUGGCUCGCUAGAGUGUGUCAGAGGAUGGUGGAAUUCCCGGUGUAGCGGUGAAAUGCGUAGAGAUCGGGAGGAACAUCAGUGGCGAAGGCGGCCAUCUGGGACAACACUGACGCUGAGGCACGAAAGCGUGGGGAGCAAACAGGAUUAGAUACCUAGUCCCUGUCUCUUAUACACAU
RNAcentral lists this ribosomal RNA (301 nucleotides) under uncultured bacterium. RNAcentral's name for it is "partial 16S ribosomal RNA". It matches the Rfam family "Bacterial small subunit ribosomal RNA", at positions 509 to 816 of the family's 1533-position model. The record is from RNAcentral.